This 28-nucleotide non-coding RNA is filed under the name Mus musculus (house mouse). Lineage: Eukaryota; Metazoa; Chordata; Mammalia; Rodentia; Muridae. The record is from RNAcentral.
UCGUAGAUGUGGACAUUUCUUGAGCUUC